This 106-nucleotide small nuclear RNA is filed under the name Adineta vaga. Lineage: Eukaryota; Metazoa; Rotifera; Eurotatoria; Adinetida; Adinetidae. The record is from RNAcentral. RNAcentral also lists the same sequence under 2 other names.
GUCCCACUACGGUGGGACAUAUAAUAAAAUUGGAACGAUACAGAGAAGAUUAGCAUGGCCCCUGCGCAAGGAUGACACGCAAAAUCGUGAAGCGUUCCAUAUUUUU